Molecule: non-coding RNA, 205 nt
Filed under: Selaginella moellendorffii
Lineage: Eukaryota; Viridiplantae; Streptophyta; Lycopodiopsida; Selaginellales; Selaginellaceae
Description: Eukaryotic large subunit ribosomal RNA
Rfam family: Eukaryotic large subunit ribosomal RNA
Source: Rfam by way of RNAcentral
UAUCCCUCAGGAUAGCUAGAGCUCAAAUUGAGAGUUUUAUCAGGUAAAGCGAAUGAUUAGAGGCAUUGGGGGUGAAACACCCUCGACCUAUUCUCAAACUUUAAAUAGGUAAGGUGUCGGGGUUGCUCCGGCUGAACCCCGACCUUUGAAUCUGAGCUCCAAGUGGGCCAUUUUUGGUUAAGCAGAUCGACUAGGCCGUUUUCGG